Zalophus californianus (California sea lion) is the source of this 187-nucleotide small nuclear RNA. Its record names the gene U2. It matches the Rfam family "U2 spliceosomal RNA". From Rfam's summary of the family: U2 is a small nuclear RNA (snRNA) component of the spliceosome (involved in pre-mRNA splicing). Complementary binding between U2 snRNA (in an area lying towards the 5' end but 3' to hairpin I) and the branchpoint sequence (BPS) of the intron results the bulging out of an unpaired adenosine, on the BPS, which initiates a nucleophilic attack at the intronic 5' splice site, thus starting the first of two transesterification reactions that mediate splicing. The record is from Ensembl. NCBI's taxonomy places the organism in Eukaryota, Metazoa, Chordata, Mammalia, Carnivora, Otariidae.
AUCACUUCUCGGCCUUUUGGCUAAGAUCAAAUGUAGUAUUUGCUCUUUUCAGUUUAAUAUAUGAUACGUUCUCUGAGGACAGCAUAUUAAAUGGAUUUUUGGAGCAGGGAGAUGGAAUAGGAAAUUACUCUGCCCACUCCACGUAUCGACCUGGUAUUGCAGUACCUCCAGGAACAGUGCAGCCCCU